UUGUGCACUCAAAACACCUUGAUACUCUUUAGUUCACAACCCUCAACGCCACCCAACUCGUCCUCGGCCCCCUCGACGGUGAGUGGGGAGGGCGGCGCCGAUGGCUCCCGCAGAGGCGCCGCAGCAAGGAGACAACGAGAUCGUCCACGUUUUCUGGGACGAUCGGAUGCUGGCCCAUGACACCGGCAUGGGCGUCUUCGACACGCUCUUCGAUCCUGGGUUCUUGGAAGUGCUCGAGCCGCAUCCGGAGAACGCCGAUCGAGUGAGGAACAUGGUCUCCAUCCUCAAAAGGGGUCCCAUCCACCGCUUCGUUUCAUGGUACGAGGGAAGACCUGCCCUCAUACCUGAGUUACUUUCGUUCCACACCCCUGGCUACAUUAAGGAGCUGCAGGAUGCAGAUGCAGCUGGUGGCAGGGAACUCUGUGCAGGCACGAUGCUCAGACCUGGUUCAUUUGAUGCUGCACUUGUUGCUGCUGGAACGACACUUUCAGCAAUGCAUCACAUACUGGAUGGACAUGGAAAGAUUGCAUAUGCAUUAGUGCGUCCACCUGGUCAUCAUGCUCAGCCAACACAAGCUGAUGGCUAUUGCUUUCUGAAUAAUGCGGGGCUUGCAAUUAAGCUGGCUCUAAGUUCUGGUUGCAAACGCGUAGCAGUAGUGGACAUUGACGUCCAUUGUGGAAAUGGAACUACAGAGGGGUUCUAUAACUCGAAUGACGUCCUCACCAUAUCCCUUCAUAUGAACCAUGGGUCAUGGGGACCAUCCCAUCCUCAAAGUGGUUCCAUUGACGAAUUAGGUGAAGGUAGGGGCUUGGGCUUUAACUUGAACAUACCCUUGCCAAAUGGAACCGGAGACAAGGGCUAUGAGUAUGCAAUGAUGGAAUUGGUUACUCCAGCUGUUACCAAAUUUGAUCCAGAUAUGGUAGUGAUGGUUAUUGGGCAAGAUUCUAGCGCGGGCAUGAAGGUAAUUUGAAUUUGUGCAAGAGCGAAAAAGUAAAAAGCUGCUGCUUCUGGUUGUAGCUUCACACUGAGCUGCUUGAUGGUAAUGUUGAUAGGUGGAUCAUGGAUGAAAGCAAGCUUUAUUAAGAGGUGAAAUGACUGCAGGGUGAGGAUAUGCUGCUUUUGCAGUCAUGACAGGAAUUCCAGAAUUGUCAUAGAAUGCUGCUGGCCGACAAUCUUGGCAUCGGCUUUGAGAUCAUUACUUUUGCUUGGAGAAUAAUAGAGAGAAUACAGCCUCGGAUGAGGAGGAUUGUUACUAUGUCAGGAGGCGCAGAAAAUGAAGUUUCUGGCUAUGAAGAAGUUCAAUGACUUGUAGCUCCCCUAUCAUUUCCUUGUCUGGUCAUGAAGAUCUUUUUUAAGGCCACGAGGUUCCUGUGACAACAUUGUAAAAAGCUCAAGUAAAUCUUUCAUAAUUUGCUGCGAGAUCCCACCACUCCAGGUACUCAAUCGGAAAAUUGGGCCUUAAAUGGGAACAUGCUUAGUUGUAUUCUGCUAUGCCACAGUGACAGAAGAAUGACAUAGUUUCAGACAAUGAGGCUUGACACAUAUUACUACCCAAAUGGGAGUAGCAGCUGUUUGACCAAAAAAGGAUGAAGUUCGAUGGUUUGAUUGAUACUAGACAUUAAACACAGUAGUUCGAUGCUGCUGGGACAGCCUGGGAGGUGAUACAGAAGGCAAGGCAGCCAUAAUGAUGGAAGGGUGACACAGUUUAAACAAAUGACGUUUAUCACAAAUUGCGAACCAAUUGAAAAUGUCAUCAAUUUCACAUCAUCUUCUGUGCAACACAUUCUACUCUGGAGUUUAAAUUAAUUACUCAAGAAUUUGAUCCCAACGGUCGACAGUGCCUAACAAUGGCCGGCUAUAGGAGAAUCGGUGAAAUCCUGCGCGACCUGGCAAAUGUGCACUCAAAGGGACGAAUGUUGAUUGUUCAGGAGGGAGGAUACCACGUGACAUACUCGGC
Nymphaea colorata (pocket water lily) is the source of this 1957-nucleotide RNA transcript. It is a transcript of the gene named histone deacetylase 8, with no coding region annotated. The transcript has 4 exons. The record is from RefSeq and is a predicted model, not a curated record. NCBI's taxonomy places the organism in Eukaryota, Viridiplantae, Streptophyta, Magnoliopsida, Nymphaeales, Nymphaeaceae.